Long non-coding RNA from Cheilinus undulatus (humphead wrasse), 797 nucleotides. RefSeq lists it as uncharacterized. The transcript has 4 exons. The record is from RefSeq and is a predicted model, not a curated record. Lineage: Eukaryota; Metazoa; Chordata; Actinopteri; Labriformes; Labridae.
UUGACAUCAUAGGAGUAUUAAGGUGUUGAAUAGGCCCAGAUAAAUUCAUUAAAAAGUCUGUACAUUUUAAAGUGUUUAGGUAACCAACCAAAUAUGUCCACUUUACUUCUGUUAUUGUUACUAAAUGAGGAGAAGUUGAUGAUUUGUUUGCAACAGGCGGCUAAUUUCAGGAGAUGCUAACAAGGUGGAGAUUGUCUUACCACAAGUGGAUGUUAAUUCAGAGAAAGAGAAGGGGAGGACGACUGAACAGACCGAAACGUGCUACAUUAAGAUGUCAGUGAUUGUCAUCAGCGACAAAGGUUCAGCCUAGGACAACUAGAUGAGAUUUUAAGGGCAGUCACAGGCUACAAAAAGGAUCCAAGCAGUGAGGAGGGACUGUGAUCCUUUUCAUGGUGUGCUCUAAACAGGCUGCAUUUUACCAUUGGAAGCCAGGAAAAAAGCUUCUCCCAUAGGAGUUGGAUAACCGUGAGGAGAGACAGCAAGGCUGCGUUUAUUCCUCCCCAGCCCAGGAUGGUCCGCUGGGAGAUAAACACAGAGAAGACGAGCGUUAAUCCGGAUUGGAGCCGGAUCCUGUAACUCAGUUAAAUACACACACACACACACACACACACACUCAUUAAAUCCUGUAACUAUAACCAACCCUAACUAACACUAACCUCAUCCAACACUAAUCAUGCAACUAUCCUGACACCUUACACACCACAUUCAUGCACCAUCUUACGAGCUCAUACCUGUUCAUGUUUUUAGUCCACAUUAGGGCACUCAACCAGAUUAUUAAAAAUGUUAUCUUCAUGUCA